CCGAGUGAGGGUCUUUGGCCCGACCUCCAACCCUUUGUUCAACCGUCUUUGUUGCCUCGGGGGCGACCCGGCCUUCGGGCGUCGGGGUCCCCGGUGGACCACUCAAUCAAAACUCUGCGUCCCUGCGUCUGAGUCACGAAGUAAAUCAAUCA
RNAcentral lists this unclassified non-coding RNA (152 nucleotides) under uncultured fungus. RNAcentral's name for it is "sequence contains ITS1, 5.8S rRNA gene". Lineage: Eukaryota; Fungi. The record is from RNAcentral.